UCACAAGGAUUAACACAGAAUGGUUCUGGUUGCAAGCUGUCCAAAGAUUGACGCGAAAUCAUGUGACAGAUGGCUUCGCAGACGGAAGAUUUGAUUAUAUUUCAGAAAAAUGCACUUCCUUAGCUGUGUGUAUCCGCAGUGGUAUUUGACGAUAAGGCCUCAGUAUAAUUUGGUACAAUUUUGAUUUCAAGACGGCGGUGGCAUCGAUGUCCGCAAAAGGUUCAGUAGGAAAUUGGGGGGACAGCUUACAAUGUUUUAAAAUGGUUCUUCUUGGAGAUGUAAGCGUUGGUAAGACUUCGCUUAUAAAAGCCCUUAAAAAUGAACAUGAACUAUGGGAACUUCCCAAAGAGUAUAGAGCAACCACGGGGGCCUGGAUUACAUACGUUGACAUAACAAACACACGCAGGCUUCUCAUUACUGACACAUCCGGAAAGCGGGAAUAUACAUCUCUUGUUAAUUUGUACUUAAGACAUCUGCACUGCAUUGUUUUGGUGUUUGCCCUUGAUGAGCCCUCGAGCUUCACGCGACUUAAGAAUCACUGGUAUCAAGAGUUCAUUCAAAGCUUCAAAGGUGAGGUUUCAAACGUAGCAAAGUUUGUUGUUGGUACCAAGAUUGAUGUAGCACCGCAUAGCUGUACAUUACAAACAGAAGCAACAUGGUUUUCUGAAGAAAUUGGAGCAGAGAUUUGGAUCACUUCAGCACACACAUUAUCCAACACUUAUGAAUUGUUCUACCGAGUCGCCGAGAAGGCCAGUACCCUUUUCACUAGUGAGAUCAAUCCGGUUGAUAUCCAAGAUGGCUCAUCAAGUUUCGGUGACCACCUUGUGGACGACAUGCUCCUUGGUGAAGGAGCCCUUGUGAAGUAUCCCGAUCCAGUCCUUUUAGAAACUGAAGAAGAGAUUACAGAUCUUCAGUUGUUCCAUCAGUGUGUAUCUAUGACAGGGCAGAGCAGGAAAUUUACUUGGGGGACUUGGUCAGAGGAGUGCUCAAAGGAGGCAGUGUUAAAGCUGGAGAUGUCAAGGCAUCCAGACAGGAAAUCAAACAAGCUUUGGGCCUGUGUGAUGGCUAACGCGCCACCUAGCACUUGGCAGUACGAGAACUUAGAGGGUGUGAAACAUUACGGAACAACAGUCAAAAGACAACCCACAAAGACAAAGUUCAAGGACGUAAAAAAGCUCCUCUUUAGUUCACGUGACCAGCUAAACUGCGAAAGGGAACACGGCCUUUUUUACAUGUUACUUCUGUCAGAAGAUGGUAGAAUGUCAGAGGUUGGCCUUAACUCUGUCAGUACGAGAUUGACCAAGGGAACUUCAUCAGAGAAAGAAGUUGUCAAGAAUAAAUUCCACUUCAAGCCAUCGCCGCUCUCUGAAAAGGUGGCAUGUAUGAAUAUGUCUCUUACUCAUGCGGCUGUUAUUGAGGAAGAUACAGCAAGAGUUAGCACCUGGGGCCAUGGAGACACUGGAGCACUCGGUAUUGAUAAGGAAGACUUACAAUAUCAUGCCGUUCUAUAUUUUCCGUUAACAGUAACAUCAAUAGACUGCCAAAUAAAACAAGUUACCUGUGGUUCAUCCUUCACUUUAAUGUUGAGCACAGAUGGAAAGGUAUUCUCUUGUGGAACGGGAGCUUUAGGAAAGUUAGGACAUGGAGACGAAACGGACAGAUCAUUGCCCACAUUGAUUGAGUCGUUAAAGGAUAUCCAGGCAAUUGCUGCAGGAGGUGACCACGCCGUGGCAUUAAACCAAAGAGGCGUUCUUUACCAAUGGGGACUGGAUUGCGCUGAUGUUGAGAGAAGACGGUUCCUUUCAAAACCCCAAAAAGUAAGCCAACUCUUCAACGUGGCCGUGAAGUCGGUAGUCUGUGGAACUUUUCACACUGUCUGCGUGGCGAACGGAAUAUACUACACUGGUAUCGGAUAUGCGUGGGGAUUAGGUUCCGAUGGUCAACUAGGUCAGGGUCAUUGCCAGUGCCUUUCUGCCCCUAAAUUGAUCAGGGAACUUUACCGCAAUAGCAAAUUUGUGAAGCAAGUAUCAGCUGGGUGGAAACACUCUGGGCUUUUAACUGUUGACGGAGAAGUGUACACUUGUGGAAACAAUGCCUUCGGACAGCUUGGUUAUUUUACUGUUUCUGAUUGUAGCGAUGUCCCACGAAAAGUUUCUCUUGGAACGAAUGUAUCAGGAGACGAAAUGAGAGCGAAAGAAUUGUGCUGUAGUGAAGACUACACCAUGGUUUUAACCACCACUGGAGAUGUAAAGAUAUGGGGAAAAUGCCACUAUGGGUCUAAGUUGGAAGAUCCAAUACCUUUUGAUGUGAAUAACGAAGCUUCCUCUGACCUUGCUGCUGGUGGUGAAGCCAUAAGCAUCAGGGAUGUCACCACGUGUUAUUUGCCAUGUGAAACAUCAUUUAUCGAGCUUGUUGUGGCGCUGACUGGCACAAGUAAUCUGAUAUUUUGCGCAGGGAUCUCUCCUAAGUUUGAUUGCCAGGCCAUGCAUGAUUGCAUAUUACAGAUUCAAUGCAACAUGAGCGACUUGACCAUUCUCCGCUCGGUAGGCUCAGUCUUGAUCAGCAUGGAUAGGCGAGGAAAAGCCCAUUAUGUCGACAUCUGGAGGUGGUUGUUGCAACAUUUUCCUCCCGACCCUCAAAACAACACAAUUCCUGAAGACCUCCUGCAUUCCUUGUUCUCCAACUUGAAAGAGUCAGAUGCUGAUAAAUCACCGAAAGUUGAUUUCACUGCCGUCCCUUUUCAAGGUGAUAUUAUAAUGGCAGUGGAAGCAAGUCUCAACAUAUUUCUCUUUUGUACCACCAUUGGAGAUGUAUACAGUUGGUCCCCGAUGGCCGGCGGAGCUGUUGUGCGCCAUAAGGAAUUGAACAGUGAAAUAAUUGUGCAAAUCGCUUGUGGUGCGAGCCAUCUAGCUGCCUUAUCCGAUAGAGGAAUUCUCUUCACAUCAGGGGAGGGUACUUCAGGCCAGCUGGGAUGUGGUACAUUGCAAACCUUCCAGACUUUUCAGCUUGUUCCGGUAACAGCGUUGGACAGGGUUCAUACUGUAUGUUGUGGAUGGGCAAGCACAUCUGUUCUCACAGAAAAUGGCAAGGUGUACUUCUGGGGCCAGCUAGAUUUACCAGAGGGGGAAAAAACAAGGAAAAAACUUUCGAGUAUCACUGCUGCAGCCCAGCCCAUUGACAUUCCAAACCUUCUGGAAGAGACGCAGAGCAGUUCUUCUCCUGCCGGAUACAAAUUGGACAUCAUAGGCGACGUUGGAACCGCAGACAAUCACCUCGCUGUAGUUGGCAGAUUAUUUGAAGUGGAAAUAUCCAAAAGAAACGAAAACUCACAAGACAGUACCUGCACGGAAUUUAGAGCCGAGAUAAUUAACUGCCAAGACCCCCCAAAUAAUCUUCAUUCCAAAGGAAAGAUAAAGCAGUCACUUAAUGCGGAUGGGGUGUACGUUGCUUCCAUGGUUUUCUAUUCUGAAGGGUCGUUCAAAGUCUCUAUAACAAGAAAUGGAAAGAACCUUCUUGGCAGUCCGUUUAAAGUCAAAGCAGAAAAAAGUGUUACGUCGAAAAGAACUAAACUGUCGCUGAUUAGUUCAGACACUGACUGCAUGAGAGAAGUUGGUGGGGUCCUUCAGAAAGCCAUCGGUCCGUAUGAAUCGUGGAUUCAGUUGAUGGGGGUUCCAGUCAUCAACACAGAUUUAUUGACACAGGUAGCCUUUAUGAUGACGUCGAUGACCGACAGUGGAAUUUACGUCUACGUCUGGGACGCCUGUAACGGAAGCCUGCCUGAGGAGGACCUUAACUUCUGGUUGCACUUACUGUCACAACAUGCAUCUUCCGCCGAUAUUAUCCUUUUGGGUAUAAAUAUAAGCACUACACAUGCCAAUGACAUCGACUUGGAGCCAUUCCAGAAAGUGAAUCCAAAGAUGAAGCGAUCUAUUCUUGUUGGGACCACCUUUGCUUCAGAACCAGACAAGCUGUUGGAGGAAUUGCUUUUGGUGCUAAGUGAAACAAACUGCCACCAAAGUCCGGUCUGGUACAGAUUAGACAGUUUGGCUUCAAAAGUCCUUGAGUUGAAGAUGGAAGGGAUUGAACAUCUUGAUUAUUCUAAAUUUAAGAGUCUGGCUAGUGAGUGCGGCAUCCAGGGAGAUCAUCUAUGCAGAAGAGCUGCCAACUACCUUGAGCGCACAGGAUUGGGUAUCUUAAUAGGAGCAGAUUCGUUUUUCUUAGUUCUCCUGCCUCGUUGGUUUGAGCGGCAGCUCACCGAAGUUACGAGGCUCAGUCACUUCGGGAGCCUAAGCAGGAAAGUCUUAGAUUUGACAAAGCAACACAUCGUCAAAUUUUUGAUUGAAAAGCGAGUGGCCGUUGAGACGAGAGAUAGGAGUGCAGUUUACAUCAUUCCUCGCCUGACUUCAAAAUCUAUCACAGCAAAGAAUUGGCCUCCGGUGGAAGAGUCCAAAUACACCAUCUACAGACAUUUGGUGUUUGAGGUGCCGCCCUAUCACGUCCAUUCCAGUUUCCAUUCUCUUGUUGCGAACAUUCUGCAAAAAUAUCGUCAUGUGAUUGUGGGGAAAUAUUCUCUGGUUAUCUACAGGGACGAUCAGUACGACUGUCGUAUUGAUUGCGGACCUUGUUUCGUCAACAAAACUGUAUUGGAGGUAAGAGUGACAGUGCGGGCACACAGCCAAGAUGUUUGCAAGGCUGGUGCAGAUGAAACAUUACGUUUCCUGAAAACGCGCUUUACGACCUGUCUUGGCUAUUGUGAGAUCAAGGUGUCUUGUCGUGCCUGUCGGCAGCAUUAUUUUGAUUUGUCCCUUCUACAAGAGGCAGCAGCACUUGACGAGGAUAGGUGUCAUUGUGAAAGAUGUCAUGACAAAAAAUCUACCAUCAGUGACAUGUUAAAUGGAUUCAAAGAUACGCAAUCGAUGCCAGCGCUGGAAUGGCAUCCAGCAGGUGACUCGCACUGUAAGCCUGAUGAUCCUCGCUCUAACACUCUGACUCGUCCCGUGAUGAGGUACUUUGGUGAUCACGUCGACAAGGUUGAAGCGAAAGUGCUGAGAGAGAUCAGAGAAAGGAUUGAAGACUUGACAAAAGUUUUCAUGGACCUAAAAAAUGAAAUGGAGACGGUAGUGGGGUGCACUUUCUUGACUCCAGCAAGCAUGAAGGGUACAGACUAGAGAGCAUCGUGGCUGCUGAUCUGAUCAAAAAAAGUGUUAAUUUUUUGCGGUUUACUUUGCAGCUUCUCAUCAACCUUUCCUCUGUGGCGAGCAUCGCUACAACCCUCUUUGAUGGGGAAGAAACCCUGAAUACCGUCCUCGGCACAAU
This 5316-nucleotide unclassified non-coding RNA is filed under the name Stylophora pistillata. RNAcentral describes it as "uncharacterized LOC111329287, transcript variant X1". The record is from RNAcentral. Lineage: Eukaryota; Metazoa; Cnidaria; Anthozoa; Scleractinia; Pocilloporidae.